GAUGAAGAACGUAGCGAAAUGCGAUAACUAAUGUGAAUUGCAGAAUUCAGUGAAUCAUCGAGUCUUUGAACGCACAUUGCGCCCCCUGGUAUUCUGGCGGGCAUGCCUGUCUGAGCGUCGUUUCGACCCUCGCGCCCGGCUUCUGUCGGGGGCGGUGUUGGGGAUCGGCCACACCCUUCAGUGGGAGGCCGGCCCCUAAAUUCAGUGGCGACCACGCUGUAGCCUCCCCUGCGUAGUACUAAAACCACCUCGCAGGCGGAGAGCGGUGCGGCCCGCCGUAAAACCCCCCAACUUUUACAAGGUCGACCUCAGAUCAGGUAGGAAUACCCGCUGAACUUAAGCAUAUCAAUAAGCGGAGGA
Molecule: unclassified non-coding RNA, 360 nt
Filed under: soil metagenome
Description: partial contains 5.8S ribosomal RNA, internal transcribed spacer 2, and large subunit ribosomal RNA
Rfam family: 5.8S ribosomal RNA (bases 1-120)
Source: RNAcentral